GCAGUAUCCUAACUGUGCUAAGGUAGCAUAAUCAUUAGUCUUUUAAUUGGAGACUGGUAUGAAUGGCUUAACGAGAAAUUAACUUUUUUUGUUAUAAAAAUCUAAUUUAAUUUUUUAGUGAAAAAGCUAAAAUUUUUCAGAAAGACGAGAAGACCCUAUAGAGUUUUAUAUUAGAUUAUAUUUAUUUUUAUUAGAUUUUGAAAAAAUAAGUAUAUAAUAAUAUUUUGUUGGGGCGACAUUAAGAUAAAAAAAACUCUUUUUUUAAAAAAUUUUAAUAAAAAUAUUAAAUGAUUCUUUAAAAAAGAUCAAAAGAAAAAAUUACCUUAGGGAUAACAGCGUAAUCUUUUUUUAGAGUUCUAAUCGACAAAAAGGUUUGCGACCUCGAUGUUGGACUAAAAUUUAGGCAGGGUGCAGCAGUUCUGCUUUUAGGUCUGUUCGACCUAUA
This 445-nucleotide ribosomal RNA is filed under the name Nobia orbicellae. RNAcentral describes it as "partial 16S ribosomal RNA". It matches the Rfam family "Bacterial large subunit ribosomal RNA", at positions 1933 to 2590 of the family's 2925-position model. The record is from RNAcentral. Lineage: Eukaryota; Metazoa; Arthropoda; Thecostraca; Balanomorpha; Pyrgomatidae.